This 65-nucleotide transfer RNA is filed under the name Gekko vittatus (white-lined gecko). RNAcentral's name for it is "tRNA-Arg". The record is from RNAcentral. Lineage: Eukaryota; Metazoa; Chordata; Lepidosauria; Squamata; Gekkonidae.
AGAUGGUUAGUUUAAUAAAAACCACUAAUUUCGACUUAGUAAACCCCAAAUUAAGGGACCAUCAA